UACGGAGGGGGCUAGCGUUGUUCGGAAUUACUGGGCGUAAAGCGCACGUAGGCGGCUAUUCAAGUCGGGGGUGAAAGCCCGGGGCUCAACCCCGGAAUUGCCCUCGAAACUAGAUAGCUAGAAUCUUGGAGAGGCGAGUGGAAUUCCGAGUGUAGAGGUGAAAUUCGUAGAUAUUCGGAAGAACACCAGUGGCGAAGGCGACUCGCUGGACAAGUAUUGACGCUGAGGUGCGAAAUCGUGGGGAGCGAACAGG
Molecule: ribosomal RNA, 253 nt
Filed under: uncultured bacterium
Lineage: Bacteria
Description: partial 16S ribosomal RNA
Rfam family: Bacterial small subunit ribosomal RNA
Source: RNAcentral